RNAcentral lists this ribosomal RNA (1479 nucleotides) under Lactiplantibacillus plantarum. RNAcentral's name for it is "bacterial SSU rRNA". It matches the Rfam family "Bacterial small subunit ribosomal RNA". Lineage: Bacteria; Bacillati; Bacillota; Bacilli; Lactobacillales; Lactobacillaceae. The record is from RNAcentral.
AUACAUGCAAGUCGAACGAACUCUGGUAUUGAUUGGUGCUUGCAUCAUGAUUUACAUUUGAGUGAGUGGCGAACUGGUGAGUAACACGUGGGAAACCUGCCCAGAAGCGGGGGAUAACACCUGGAAACAGAUGCUAAUACCGCAUAACAACUUGGACCGCAUGGUCCGAGUUUGAAAGAUGGCUUCGGCUAUCACUUUUGGAUGGUCCCGCGGCGUAUUAGCUAGAUGGUGAGGUAACGGCUCACCAUGGCAAUGAUACGUAGCCGACCUGAGAGGGUAAUCGGCCACAUUGGGACUGAGACACGGCCCAAACUCCUACGGGAGGCAGCAGUAGGGAAUCUUCCACAAUGGACGAAAGUCUGAUGGAGCAACGCCGCGUGAGUGAAGAAGGGUUUCGGCUCGUAAAACUCUGUUGUUAAAGAAGAACAUAUCUGAGAGUAACUGUUCAGGUAUUGACGGUAUUUAACCAGAAAGCCACGGCUAACUACGUGCCAGCAGCCGCGGUAAUACGUAGGUGGCAAGCGUUGUCCGGAUUUAUUGGGCGUAAAGCGAGCGCAGGCGGUUUUUUAAGUCUGAUGUGAAAGCCUUCGGCUCAACCGAAGAAGUGCAUCGGAAACUGGGAAACUUGAGUGCAGAAGAGGACAGUGGAACUCCAUGUGUAGCGGUGAAAUGCGUAGAUAUAUGGAAGAACACCAGUGGCGAAGGCGGCUGUCUGGUCUGUAACUGACGCUGAGGCUCGAAAGUAUGGGUAGCAAACAGGAUUAGAUACCCUGGUAGUCCAUACCGUAAACGAUGAAUGCUAAGUGUUGGAGGGUUUCCGCCCUUCAGUGCUGCAGCUAACGCAUUAAGCAUUCCGCCUGGGGAGUACGGCCGCAAGGCUGAAACUCAAAGGAAUUGACGGGGGCCCGCACAAGCGGUGGAGCAUGUGGUUUAAUUCGAAGCUACGCGAAGAACCUUACCAGGUCUUGACAUACUAUGCAAAUCUAAGAGAUUAGACGUUCCCUUCGGGGACAUGGAUACAGGUGGUGCAUGGUUGUCGUCAGCUCGUGUCGUGAGAUGUUGGGUUAAGUCCCGCAACGAGCGCAACCCUUAUUAUCAGUUGCCAGCAUUAAGUUGGGCACUCUGGUGAGACUGCCGGUGACAAACCGGAGGAAGGUGGGGAUGACGUCAAAUCAUCAUGCCCCUUAUGACCUGGGCUACACACGUGCUACAAUGGAUGGUACAACGAGUUGCGAACUCGCGAGAGUAAGCUAAUCUCUUAAAGCCAUUCUCAGUUCGGAUUGUAGGCUGCAACUCGCCUACAUGAAGUCGGAAUCGCUAGUAAUCGCGGAUCAGCAUGCCGCGGUGAAUACGUUCCCGGGCCUUGUACACACCGCCCGUCACACCAUGAGAGUUUGUAACACCCAAAGUCGGUGGGGUAACCUUUUAGGAACCAGCCGCCUAAGGUGGGACAGAUGAUUAGGGUGAAGUCGUAACAAG